AGAAGAUUUCUUGGAGGAGAGAUAGAGCAUGCAAAUUAGAGGGAGAGAGGGUUUUUUGGAGGAGAGAGAGAGCACGCAGGUCAGAGGGACUAAAACCCACCUCCAAAAAGUUGUUAUCUCCAUUACCCAUUCUCCAUUACCACCACCCCAUGACCUCAUUUUCUCUCUCUUGAAGAAAUGCUUGAAAGCACCCUAACCGAAGGGUUUCUUGGAGGAGAGAGAGAGCACAUAGAUUAGAGGGAGAAAGGGUUUCUUGGAGAGCAGAGAGAGCACGCACCAUUAAAAGAGGGAGAGAGGGGUUCUUGGGGAGAAAUUCUUUUUUAUAGAGGAUUAGGCAGGAAGAUCCUAAAGAGAGAGAGUCCAAAGCCAGGCAAGAGGCAAUACGGUCAUCCCGAAAACAGGGUUUGCUUUUCGUCGUGCCGAGGCCUCUAGGUCAGCACCCAAGGUUCUCAUCGUCGCCGCUAAUUUGCAGAACCUAGGUCUGACAUGGAAAUUCCCACAAUGGAGCCUGAAGCUGAGUGAAACAAUAUGUAGACUUCGCUAUGUACACCAUUCGCUUUUGUGAUGUUUGGAUGACAAUGCAAGAAGUCAAAGCAGAGGCCAUAACUUUAAGAACAAGACUGGAGUUUUUUGUACAAGCCCAGUGGUUAACCCUCAAGCUCAUCAUCUCAAAAAUUUUUUGCAAGCCCAAUACUCAACAAUCAAGCUCAUCAUCUUAGAAAUGUUUUGCAAGCCUAAUGCUCAACAAUCAAGCUCAUCAUCUUAGAAAUUUUUGCAAGCCCAAUGCUCAACAAUCAAGCUCAUCAUCAUAGAAAUCUUUUGUAACCCCAAUGCUAGUGGAGAAAACUUUAUCUUGGAAUGGAGGUUCGGAAUGGAAUUUUUGUAUAGCUUCCAUAUAUUGCAAAUUCAUGUUGCAAGUAGAAUUUUGUAUAGUUUCAAAGUGCAUGUUGAAUAUCUUCAAAUGGAAUUUUUGUAUAGCUUAAGUUCCUCACACUUCUUAGACCAGAACAUGCUAUCCACUCAUUCAAGAAAUUUAA
Amborella trichopoda is the source of this 1037-nucleotide long non-coding RNA. RefSeq lists it as uncharacterized. The record is from RefSeq and is a predicted model, not a curated record. NCBI's taxonomy places the organism in Eukaryota, Viridiplantae, Streptophyta, Magnoliopsida, Amborellales, Amborellaceae.